This 498-nucleotide ribosomal RNA is filed under the name uncultured bacterium. Its description in RNAcentral is "bacterial SSU rRNA". It matches the Rfam family "Bacterial small subunit ribosomal RNA", at positions 16 to 507 of the family's 1533-position model. The record is from RNAcentral.
AUCCUGGCUCAGAUUGAACGCUGGCGGCAUGCCUUACACAUGCAAGUCGAACGGCAGCACGGGAGCAAUCCUGGUGGCGAGUGGCGAACGGGUGAGUAAUAUAUCGGAACGUGCCCAGUCGUGGGGGAUAACGUAGCGAAAGCUACGCUAAUACCGCAUACGAUCUAAGGAUGAAAGCGGGGGAUUCGCAAGAACCUCGCGCGAUUGGAGCGGCUGAUAUCAGAUUAGGUUGUUGGUGAGGUAAAAGCUCACCAAGCCGACGAUCUGUAGCUGGUUUGAGAGAACGACCAGCCACACUGGGACUGAGACACGGCCCAGACUCCUACGGGAGGCAGCAGUGGGGAAUUUUGGACAAUGGGCGAAAGCCUGAUCCAGCAAUGCCGCGUGCAGGAAGAAGGCCUUCGGGUUGUAAACUGCUUUUGUACGGAACGAAAAGGCUCUUUCUAAUAAAGAGGGCCCAUGACGGUACCGUAAGAAUAAGCACCGGCUAACUACGUG